GAAUUCGAUUCAGGCCUAACACAUGCAAGUAGAGCGCGAAAGUCUUCGGAUGAGUAAAGAAAAGAACGGGUGAGUAAUGCAUGGGAAUCUGCCUGGUAGUGGGGGACAACGUCUCGAAAGGGACGCUAAUACCGCAUACGCCCUACGGGGGAAAGGGGGGGAUCUUCGGACCUCUCGCUAUCAGAUGAGCCCAUGUCAGAUUAGCUAGUUGGUGAGGUAAAGGCUCACCAAGGCGACGAUCUGUAACUGGUCUGAGAGGAAAAUCAGUCACACUGGUUUUGAGGGACGGUCCAGACUCCUACGGGAGGCAGCAGUGGGGAAUAUUGGACAAUGGGGGCAACCCUGAU
This 347-nucleotide ribosomal RNA is filed under the name uncultured bacterium. RNAcentral describes it as "bacterial SSU rRNA". It matches the Rfam family "Bacterial small subunit ribosomal RNA", at positions 43 to 387 of the family's 1533-position model. The record is from RNAcentral.